RNAcentral lists this ribosomal RNA (722 nucleotides) under Salmonella enterica. Its description in RNAcentral is "partial 23S ribosomal RNA". It matches the Rfam family "Bacterial large subunit ribosomal RNA", at positions 568 to 1253 of the family's 2925-position model. Lineage: Bacteria; Pseudomonadati; Pseudomonadota; Gammaproteobacteria; Enterobacterales; Enterobacteriaceae. The record is from RNAcentral.
ACGUUCAACCGCAAAAGAAGCAGAGGGGGCUUAGUGGUGGGGUGACUGCGUACCUUUUGUAUAAUGGGUCAGCGACUUAUAUUCUGUAGCAAGGUUAACCGAAUAGGGGAGCCGGAGGGAAACCGAGUCUUAACCGGGCGUUAAGUUGCAGGGUAUAGACCCGAAACCCGGUGAUCUAGCCAUGGGCAGGUUGAAGGUUGGGUAACACUAACUGGAGGACCGAACCGACUAAUGUUGAAAAAUUAGCGGAUGACCUGUGGCUGGGGGUGAAAGGCCAAUCAAACCGGGAGAUAGCUGGUUCUCCCCGAAAGCUAUUUAGGUAGCGCCUCGUGAAUUCAUCUCCGGGGGUAGAGCACUGUUUCGGCUAGGGGGCCAUCCCGGCUUACCAACCCGAUGCAAACUGCGAAUACCGGAGAAUGUUAUCACGGGAGACACACGGCGGGUGCUAACGUCCGUCGUGAAGAGGGAAACAACCCAGACCGCCAGCUAAGGUCCCAAAGUCAUGGUUAAGUGGGAAACGAUGUGGGAAGGCCCAGACAGCCAGGAUGUUGGCUUAGAAGCAGCCAUCAUUUAAAGAAAGCGUAAUAGCUCACUGGUCGAGUCGGCCUGCGCGGAAGAUGUAACGGGGCUAAACCAUGCACCGAAGCUGCGGCAGCGAACGUAUCACUUAAAGCGAUUCAGCGGGUUACGAUUGACGGAGCGAAGCGACGUCAAAGCGUAUA